AAAGCAGGGAUUGUGUGUAUCGGUUUUGUGCUAUUGUUAAUGCAUUAUUCCGAAAGAUUUCCCUGCAACAUUAUCUUGAGAAAAUGGGCAGUUGUUUUUCAUUUUAUUCAAUUGAAAAUCACAACAAUCAUUUUCCCCACAUUUUUUAUUAUAUAUUUCUCUAUUUUAUGCUAAUUCAGUUUCUUUCUUAUGUUUGUGUAUAUCAGUUUUAUGUGAUGUUAAAGACUAUGAUGAUUGCUUCAUAUAUUCUGACACCUCUUGUAUGAGAUGGGUCUUUUCCAAAGAUUCAUUUUUGAGCACAUAAAGCAACUCUCUGAGUCCAUUUUUGUUUCUUAUGUUUAUGUUGGAAUAAUUGGUAUGAGCCUAAUAUUGCAAUUCUUUAAACAUUUAUUCAGUAUGUCAAAGAAUCUAUCGUUAGGCUAAAUUGAUUUUAUUUAUUUGUAUGUAUAUAUCUUUAUAUAUAUGUGCAGUCUAUCUUUAGCUCCAGAUAUCCUUUCUUAUAGUAGGAUUUUUUGGUGACAAGGUAGAUACAAAAUUGUUUAUGAAAUUUUUGAUUGGGUUAUUUGAUUUUAUUCAUUUUGGGAUGUGGAUUUGUUUGUUGAUUUUUGAAUAUAUGGUACAAUGUUGAAUGAUGAUAGCAAUCAUUCGGAUUCCCAAUGAUAAUAUAUAUGAUCUCACAAUCAAUUUCUGACAACAUUGUAUUCAUAAUUUCAUGUUUUUUCAUAUGAUAUUCAGAUUCUAUUACAAUUGUUGUCACAAUUAUUCUUCUGUUGUAUAAUUUUAAGUUUUUCUUUAGUGUUGGGCCAAUGAUGUUAUAACAUAUUUGCUACUCUUGAUGGGAAUGUCCCAUUUGAUGAUAUUUUUCCACCAAGAUCUCUGAGGCU
Non-coding RNA from Lupinus albus (white lupine), 884 nucleotides. The record is from the annotation of a GenBank genome assembly. NCBI's taxonomy places the organism in Eukaryota, Viridiplantae, Streptophyta, Magnoliopsida, Fabales, Fabaceae.